Molecule: long non-coding RNA, 278 nt
Organism: Centruroides sculpturatus (bark scorpion)
Lineage: Eukaryota; Metazoa; Arthropoda; Arachnida; Scorpiones; Buthidae
Exons: 3
Source: RefSeq, a predicted model, not a curated record
AAAAGAAGGCUGAGAACAACUGAAUUAGAGUCUUCCAUAAUUGAAUUACGUAGUAAAUUAGAAAAAUUUAUGAACAUUUCCUCGAGUAUUUUGAAAACGGAAAACAACGGAAUACUUAAAUCCAGAACAAAUGAAAUUUGAGUCAUUUAAAAACUAGCAACUUGAACUCAGCUUAAAUUACUAGGAUUGCAGUUAAAUUGAACGAAUGUAAGAUAUAAUCGUUUCCAAGAUAAAUAAAGAAGCGUUGAGCGAUGAAGAUAUAUUUUGCUGUCGUGAGG